AGUGAACGCUGGCGGUAGGCCUAACACAUGCAAGUCGAACGGCAGCACAGUAAGAGCUUGCUCUUACGGGUGGCGAGUGGCGGACGGGUGAGGAAUACAUCGGAAUCUACUUUUUCGUGGGGGAUAGCGUAGGGAAACUUACGCUAAUACCGCAUACGACCUACGGGUGAAAGCAGGGGAUCUUCGGACCUUGCGCGAUUGAAUGAGCCGAUGUCGGAUUAGCUAGUUGGCGGGGUAAAGGCCCACCAAGGCGACGAUCCGUAGCUGGUCUGAGAGGAUGAUCAGCCACACUGGAAAUGAGACAAGGUCCAGACUCCUAAGGGAGGCAGCAGUGGGGAAUAUUGGACAAUGGGCGCAAGCCUGAUCCAGCCAUACCGCGUGGGUGAAGAAGGCCUUCGGGUUGUAAAGCCCUUUUGUUGGGAAAGAAAAGCAGCAGGUUAAUACCCCGCUGUUCUGACGGUACCCAAAGAAUAAGCACCGGCUAACUUCGUG
This 492-nucleotide ribosomal RNA is filed under the name uncultured bacterium. Its description in RNAcentral is "partial 16S ribosomal RNA". It matches the Rfam family "Bacterial small subunit ribosomal RNA", at positions 29 to 507 of the family's 1533-position model. The record is from RNAcentral.